UAAAGUUUAUUAACCAGAAGUAGAAUCAUAUAUCUAAUUAAAAAUAAACAACUAAUAGAUUUCGUUCCAUUACAAAAAUAUAUAUACAUACACUUAUGCGUACACAUUAAAAGUAUUGCUAAUAGAAAAUCAAUGGAAUUAUAGAAAACAUUUCAUUGUAAAUUGAUGCCGAAAAUAACAAAUACCCUUCAAUAAUGUAAAAUUUUUUCUUUUUCUAUCAAGUUUUAAUUUCUUUUCUAAUCAAUUUAAACAUUUUUAGUUCAUAAUGAAUUGUAUCAAUAACAAUAUCAGACAUGUAAUUUUGGCUCCUUGCAGCACAAAGGUUGCUCGUUACUGUCUAUACAAUAUAAUAAAAUCUCAAGUAAUACCCAAGAGAAAGACUACUAUAUACUUUGUGUAUGUGUGUGUGGGUGUGUAUAUUAUGUAUCUAGUUAUGUACAUAUGUACAUAUAUACAUAUGUAUCUAUUUACAAACGUAUGUUUAUAUGGGAUCUUCCAACAUUCCACCUCGGUGGUUGCGGAAAGACUGAUAUCAUACGAUAUUCGACCAAAAGUAAAUAAGAUAAGGUGUAUUUAGAUACUUCAGCUUAUAUAGAAACAUAUAAACAUUGUAAUAAGAUUUGCUUUGUAUAAGUCCGCUAGUAAAUUCUAUAAACAUUCUCUUUUUCUUUCAGGGUAAUAAUAUUAUAUAUAUAUAUUUAAAUUUUUUUAAUUUAAUUAGUUAAUUAAUUAUUUUAAUAAUGAUUGAUUUUAUAACGAAUAUUUUUAAGGUAAUCUUGGCAUUGUUUGUACAUGUAUAUUAUGUACUAAU
Molecule: long non-coding RNA, 811 nt
Organism: Vespula vulgaris
Lineage: Eukaryota; Metazoa; Arthropoda; Insecta; Hymenoptera; Vespidae
Exons: 3
Source: RefSeq, a predicted model, not a curated record